AGAGAAACAAUUUAUUAUAACAAUAAAGAUGUACUUGCCAAAAUGGCACCAAUACAAUGUCUGAACAAAGACGAAAAAGAAACGCUAGUGGACAUACUCCACUAGCUCAAUCCUACAACUAAGCUAGAAUGUAAAUGGGAAAGCAUCCUUUAAAGCAUGAGGGCCUACCAAGUCCGGAUGAAUGUUCGACGUCCGGAUAAGUGCAGCGUUGAUCCUGUAGCUCUAGCGUCCACCUGUGCCUGCACCUAAAAGUAUAGAGUUGUAUAGGGUUAGUAAACACUUGUACUAAGUAUGGGUAUAUGAAAGCACACACCAAGGACAUGCAUGAGUAAGAUUAGCUCUUUCCUAAUAACAUGAUUAUAGAAGUGCAAGUCAGUGGACAUGCCAAAUUGAGAUUAGGAAAGUGAGUGAGCUUUCCGAAUUUGAAUUAGGAAAGUUUAUGAGAUUUCCAAAUUUGGAUUAGGAAAGUUAUGCCAUGAGAGUAACAUACAUCAUCAUACUCAACAUUUUGCACACAUCACACAACAGCGUACACAUAGCACAUAUCAUAAUUUCUAUAACACAUAACGUUGUUCGUAUCAUUCAUUCAUAUGCUAUGAGACCUUGGAAUUAUGGACUUGACAUUAAGACUUCCCAAAAAUGAGGGCUCAACGUAUGGGGCCUCCAACUAGGGAGUCUGCAUUAGCAAACACAGAGUUUGCUUCGUUCAUUCAUAUGUACUUAAUUUCAUUUCAUUCAUGGGACAGUGUAAACACCAACUAUACCUAGGAUGUAGUUUAAGACUUUCAUCAGGUUCGUUGUGCAAUGACCAAGAAUGACCUAAUGUCCUUACUUGAAUCUAACUCACCUCUUGAUUAUCCUAUCCUAACACAUUUGGUAUCAUUUGUUUCAUUAUGUGUAUCAUUUUGAGGCUGGCCUCAUUCAUUCAUUAGGAACUUUAACUUUAACCGACAUAGAUCAUGUGAGCAUCAUGAAAUCCAGUGUCAUGAAACCCCACACCGAAAAGAGUUGGAAUCACCGGCCAAAGUGACCCAAAACAUGCUAGCGUACAUGGGAAUUGAACUUCGCCACAUCUAUAUAUUGGCAGUGUAGGUUCAAAGACUAGGAGAUAUAAGGAGACCCAUACCCGGCAUGCUGGACAGUCUCAUCUCAUGAGAGUUACAUGAACCUCCACCCUUCUCAAAAGAAGGUAUCAUCUCUCAUAGCUAGUCUAUCGGUGCUCAGUAUAAAGUUCCAUUACAUUUAAUUCAUACGUCAUGGAAGCUGGCUUCUAGUAUGAGGACAUCAUAGAUAAAUAGAUGAUUUCUCAUCUAAUCAUUAGUAUUAAGUGUAUUAAUGUCAAUACUUUCAUUAGAGUGUUCAUAGAGACUGGUCUCUUCAUUAACUUUACACUCUCAUAGGUGAGUACGUUUUGGCAACAUUUACUUAGGCUCAUUUGAGAUUGCUAUCAUCUUUUACAUUAUACUCAUACCAAGUUGUCACCACAUUCAUCAAUAUUAUCACAUUUGCUCUUCAUAAUUACUCAUCCCUUUUUACGUGAAUGUUAAUUUCAUCUUAUGCCAAUGCACUUGGUCAUUUGUGUGUUUCACACUCUUACUUAACCCUUCUAGGGUUUCAUGAUUUCAUUACAUAAUAAUCAUUUCAUCGUAUGCCAAUGCACUUGGCCAUUUAGUGUGUUUUACACUCGUACUUAACCCUUUUAGGGUUACAUCAUUUCAUUACAUACAUCUUAGGUUCACUUAUUUUUAAACGUAUGCUAGACUUAUAGGUCUAUACAUACAAGCCAUAAGGCUUCAUUCAUAGUUCGUUUAAGUGAUUCAUAUAUUCUUAAGAUUAUGUAGUACAAGACAUAUGCAUCUUGUAUGUAUGCCAAGAUCACAAUUUCGAUCUAAGUAGGCAGCAUUAUUCUUGAAGAUUUAAUUCACGUAUGACUUAUGCAUCUAUACAGAAUUUGGGCAAGGGAACCCAAUUUCGAGUCCCUUAGACAAAACUUCAAUUUUUUUUAAUUUAUUGUAUUUUGGUCAACAUGACAUUGGAACCCUAGAUCGAGCCCCAACAUAAAUGUUUCCUCUUUAUUUUUUUAUCCUCUGAAUUAACUCUUACUUGGCCGAGGGGUUGUGGGAUCAAACCCCCACAGCCCCUUUUAUUGUGUUUUUUUAAAUCUUUUUCUCCUUGUCUAUUUCGAGUUGACUAUGAGGUUGUGGGAUCAAAACCCCAUAGCCUCUUUUUGUUUUUCUUUUAUUCACCUCCUUAAAUCUGCCUAAGAGGUCGUCGGUUCGAUUCUCACACGCCUCCCCCUUUAUUUUUCUUUUAUUAUCCUCCUUAAAUCUGCCUAAGAGGUCGUGGGUUCGAUUCCCACACGCCUCCCCCUUUAUUUUUGUUUUAUUCACCUCCUUAAAUCUACCUAAGAGGUCGUGGGUUCGAUUCCCACACACCUCCCCCUUUAGUUUUCUUUUAUUCACCUCCUUAAUAUGCCUAAGAGGUCGUGGGUUCGAUUCCCACACGCCUCCCCCUUUAGUUUUCUUUAAUUCUCCUCCUUAAUCUGCCUAAGAGGUCGUGGGUUCGAUUCCCGCUCGCCUCCCCCUUUAUUUUUCUUUUAUUCUCCUCCUUAAAUCUGAUUGAGAGGUGGUGGGUUCGAAUCCCUCUCCUCUCAUUUCAUAUUUUUUUCUUUUAAGUUACAUUUUCUAGCCAAUACCAUGGUUCGAAUCCCCUUCACCACAUUUCUUUUUAGUUCUUUGUUUUCAUGGUUUAUAACAUGGUGAGUUCACAGGUUCAAUCCUCCAUGACCUCACUUGUUUUAAUUCAUUUUUUCAAUAUUUUGAACCCUCUUUGCUGACCGAAAUUCAUCACUAGAAGCUGGAAAUUUUCUUUUAAUAUUUCAGCAUCCUUUCAUCAAGUUACACAUUAGUUCUUAAGGGAAUUUCUUAGUGCAUUUAGAACGUUUUAGGUGCGUUUUCAUGGAUUCAUUUAGACAAGAGAUUAUCCCUCAAAUCAGCCACAUUUCAACUCAUAUGAACAUCACAUUUACAUCAACAUGUGUACAUGAAAUAUAAAUAACUAUCAUGCCAUUUCAAGUCCUAAACCAUGAACAAUAGCCACGACAACACACACAUACACACGUAGAUACAUUUUCGGAAACAUUAACAUAAGUCACAUAAUUCCAAACAUACAUAUUAACACCUAAUAAUUACGAAAACACGUUUCAUCCCCAGUUUUCUACCAGCAAACAUAACCAACCUAUGAUUCAAUGGGAGCUAGUGACAAGGACAUGCAACCGGCAACAAUCUUAGUUUUUGGAAUAUAUUCGUUUGAACCUUAGGAGGUCUCUUGGGAAAGGGACCAAGAGAGAAGAGAACCAAUACCUUUUUGACGUUCAACCCUCGACUUGUUGCACAAAGAACUCCUACAAACACACGUCCAACACCAAAAGUUCAACACCAAACUCGACGGAAAACCUUCUCUUUGCCUACGUGAUUCAUUAAUGUUUGUUUUUCUUAUUUUUUUCGUGUGAGUUCUUCAAGUGUGAAGAACUUUGGUUUACCUACUAUUUUUGGAGUUAUUUUGGCAGAGAAAACGUGAAUGAGAGUGAUAGAGAUGUGAGAGAUGGAGAUGAGCGUGGGAGAGAAGAGUUUUCUUAGGCUUACGAGUCAAGUCUAGGACUUAGUCAAAUAAGAUUUUAUUUAAUUACUAAAAAUCCGAUUUCCUUUUAUUUUAAAUCAGAUAAUAACUAAUAAAUAUAAAUGAAUUACAUUAAUUUACCAAAUUAAAAAAAAUUAUUUAAUUCAUUGCUUCCACCUAGGUUUGAACCGGGUGGAGCAAGACUUCAGUUCAAAAGCCCAAUUUCGGCCCUCUCUCCCCAAAAUUCCCCUCCACAUUAUUAAUAAAAUAAUUAAUUAUAAAUUUAGGGUUAUUACGAUCUACCCUUAGCCUGAAAAAAAUACUAUUUUACCCCUAGACCCUCCAAACCAAAGAUUUCCUCUUUUUAAGUCCGGUAAAGACUCCUUCGAGUAAAUCUACAUAUUCGAGAGCCCUACAUGGUUGGAACCAACCUUUCCUAUCCCAAAUAACUCCCCAAUUUAGUUGUCUUGGAUGUAUCAAGAGUUUCGAGUUUUUGUUCUACUCGCAUCAAUCCGUGUGAACCCGGUCUAAUCGUUGGUAUUCUAGACAUAUUAAGCAUUACAUAGCAUAUCUAUUUUUAGGGUUGUUACACUCAUAGAAUUUACUAGACAAUUAUGUAAACAUCUAAUCAUAAUAGCUCAUAGAGGUUCAUAAGUGAGAACAUUCUGUCACUUUAGAAAAACUAGCAAGUGAGUAAACCUUUCACUUUAACAUUAUAUUAUAAUCAUGAGAACUAUCUUUCAAUCGUAUAACAAUCAUACCAUAUCAUACAUACAUACUAUAGUUAAUUCAAUUGUAUAGGGUUAAGCAUGACAGAAACUUGUCAUUAACUCCAAAAUAACACACAUUAUAUCAAUCAUUACUAUCUAACCAAUUCAUCUUUCAUACGUAAGUUCAAAGAAGAACCAACUACCUACUUGCCUUCAUGGGAAUUCAUCCGUCAGCUACCCCAAAAUGCAUAACCAACACAUAAUAUAAGGUAAGUUAUGAAGCAAUAACAUAACUAACAUCAAUAUAAAGUAAGAUAUGAAGCAAUAACAUAACUAACAUCAAUAUAAAGUAAUUCAUGAAGCAAUAACAUAACUAACAUCAAUAUAUAAAAUUGUUAUAUUUAUUAUCUUCAAUCAAUUAACCAUAUCAAAUCCAAGAUUUAUGAAAUUGGGGAAGAACAUGGGUCAAGGGGAGUUCCAAGUUUACAAUAACAACUACCCAUCAUUAUACUCCUAAACAACCUUAGGUAAUCAUAAUUUAUUAUAAUUGAUUUCAAAAUUUCAUUUUUUAAAGAAGACUCAUGUGUAGAGAAAAACCCUAGAUCUUGGGAAAUUUUGAAUACAUCUUUGAAAGGAAUUGAACAUGUUCAAGCUUGGUGAAGGAACAUCUAAAGUUUGGGCCAAAAGGCCAAAUGUUGAACUAGAUACACCUCCGUUCUGCGCUUGUGCCUCCACCUGCACCACUACCAGCACCAGAAUAACCAGAGUUGUCAAAGAGCAUGAGAACCUAGUAUGUAUGUGAAAUUGGUAAGCUAACAUCAUUGAUCAUCCAUAUACAAUCUAAUCUAGAACUGAUUUUUUAUGUUCCUAACUAGGACGGGUUUUCUGACUGGUUAUCAUGUUCACCACCAUUUGAACCACUUACACCUGAUUAAAACUUCAGCGAUCUCAAUGUUGAUGCAUUCGUCGUUGUUGCUGCUCCAAAAGAUUCAACAUUGGGUAUUUUUACCCAAACCACAAAUGUUCCUUCCCAUGCAUUCAUUCUUCCCCUAUACAUAUUUAUUUUUGUAUAAAAGGUUACACCUUAGGAAUAUGCUAACCCUCUCUUUUUGGGUCGGGAGUAGAACAUCGGAUUCCAUGUAAAUCACAUGGUCUAAUGUUGGUUAUUACAACCUUUUUACGUAAUGUAAAAGUAAAUGAAUAAAGGAGAAGUAUGAAUUAUUACUACGACUUUCUUAAGGGGUUCUACAUAGUGUAAGGGAGGGUAUGAGACUUUUCUUACACAUUGCACUAGUGGGAUCCUAAGAGAUAGUUGUAGUAGUGUUGUCUUAUGAGUAUGUUACUAUGACUUAUGUAUAUCCUUACGUAUAUGGUAACUUAUGAUAUGAUAUUAGGAAUGUAUGUAUGAAGUGGGUCACCUAAUGUGAUACUUAGUUUUGGAUUGGGUUACAGAAUUUUAUUCUUUGCAUUGAACAAGUAUUGUGUGGGUUGUCUACAUGUUGGGAUGAUAUCAUAUUGCGUUGACUUAUGAUGCUUACUUUAUAUUCAUAUUUGAUAUACUUGUCAAAAGCAUGUUUUGACUAAAAUGCCCUUUUAUAUAUGCAUUGAUGAAUUUAAUGCAUAAAAGGCAUAAUUUAUCAUAAUUGAUUCAUAAUAUUGUUUCUCAAAAAAUACCCAUUUGUAGAGAAAAAUCCUAGAUUUUGGGGAAUUUUGAAUACAUCUUUGAAGGGACUUCUUGGGGAAAGGAAUCCCACGAGUAAAAAAACCAUACCUUAAUAAAGAUUUAUCCACGAAAUUGAGUUGAAUACUUUGAGAAUUGAUCCUCUUCUUUGAGCUCCAAAGUUAUUUAAUGGAGCUUUAGGAAAGAGAUAGAAGCUAGAGAGAAGGAAGAGCUUUAAUAAUUCUUUUUUGACUUCUAAUUUAGUGUUUUUUAUUUUGAUUGGGGAAUGGGUGUAAACUGACUAAAAACUAUAUAUAUAACUCCAAAAUACCCAAAAACACACUAGUCGGUCCAUAAAACAAAAGUCUGACUUCACUUUUCAUUAGAUCUCAAAAUUUGUCAAGAAUAGGAGGUGGGUCCGCGACGCGCAGUAGUGUGCAAAUUAAUUUUAGAAAAUGAUUUUUUAGGAAGAAGACCUCGUAUUAGCUCUACGAUGCGGAGCUGAAAUUUUCAAGAUCUUGAGCCAUGCGCCGGCCAAUGCCAAAUUUCGUCAAUAUGAAUUUCUUCUUCGCUUCUCAUCUCUAAACCUUCACAACUUCCCCGAUUCUUUCCCCAGACAAUUAAGACUAAUUACCUCUUUUAGGUCAUAAUUCAUUGGGUUAGACUCUAGUUUAGGUUAUAGUAUUUCCAGGGUUUUAAAGAUGUUCAACAUAUAUACAUAAAACUAGACAUGAUCAUUGCAUAAAACCCCUUUUGAACUAACACUAUUUGUGGGAAGUGAAAAUUAUAAGUUUUUCUCUAUCUUUGACACUAUAUGUAUAGAAUCCUUCUCUAAGUCUUUUAAUUCACCAAAUCCCGUUUCUCUCUUUCAUUUUCUUUCUCUAUCAUUAUUUGGUGAAAUGAAAGACCUAGAGAAGGAUAUUAUAUAUAGCGUGAAAAGUAGAUAAAGAGUUAACACUUGAAUUUUUUCCCUUCCAACCAAUAGUGUCAGUUCGCAAAGGGCUUUUAUGGAAUUACCAUCGCUAGUUUAUAUAUAUAUAUAUAUAUAUAUAUAUAUAUAUAUAUAUGUUGACCACAUCUUUAAUUUAUUUUCUCAUGAACUUCAAUUUAAAUUCUUACUUCCGGAUUAAAAUUUCAAGUUAUCUUUGAAAAUGUUGAAGCAUAUGACAAUGUCAUUUAAAAUUAUGUUUGACUGAUUAAACAACACAUAUUUUAGUUAUUUACUUAGUAAUGUUUUCAAUUCACACAUUUUCACAUGUGGCCUGAUUCAUUUUGGAGAUACAAAGAUUUUAACGUGCUUAUAAUGUUUGUCAUCUCUAAUACCAUGUUGAAAAGUUUGGGUGUUUUGAGUCUUCUCCCCCUUCUAGGAAGGCAAAGGGUUAGGAAUGAAUUAUUCAUAACCUUAAGUUAAACUCUUGAUAAAAAGUACUGAAAUUAGCACAAUUAUAUUGGUGAGCAGUGACAUAGGCAGAAAAUCUAUGAAGGGCGUCCAAAAUAAAGCCCAACAUAGAAAAAUGUGGCCAUGGGUAACUAAACCUCAAUGACAAACAACCUUCUUCACACUAUUGCAUCUAAGGCUACCACUCUAUAUACAACAAAGUAUCUCAUUUUUCAUUUAAUUUAUCAUUUUGCAAUAGACCAAAUUAAACAAAAUAUACAAAAUACUACUGCAACUAAGUUACCACUCUAAUACAUCAAAAUAUUUUGUUUUUCAUUUAAUUAACUGUUUUACAGUAAACCACAUUAAACAAAAUAUACAAAACAUAGAUGGAUUGGUAAGAACUUGGGUAUUGUGUACAUUGGACACACUUUUUACACUACAUUAUGGCUCAUUGUUGUUAUUUAGGGUGUUCAAAAUACUUAAUAUAUCAAUAUCAAGUAAUAUUUGACCCGAAACAGUUCUAAGAGGGGUAAUUUACUGCAUAAAAACAAGCUCGGGAAAUUUAUUGUAGAAACAAGACAAGACAAAUUGUGGAAAAUAUCAUGGAAGAUACUAGACAUUAUGGAAUAAGCAAGACAAAUUGUGGAAAAUACAGCUUCAAAGUUCAACAUUUAUAUAGUUGAGGAAAUCUACUAGUAAAUGUCAUUGUUAAUAGUGCUUAAAGUAAGUCGAAGGUACAAGAAUACAAGCAGUUCGAAAAGAUACCAGCUAAUUGCAGAAGAGUUCUAAACAUGAAAAAAGCACAAAUCGCAAGUUCUAGAAUCAAUACAAGAAAGAUAAAGGACAUAAACAAUCAGUAUACACAAUAUUUACACUAAUCAAGAUGUGGUGAGUCUCACAAAAUUUUAUAUGUACACCUCAUGUUUUUUCCAAUACCAAUGCUUAAAAUCGGUGAUAAAUAAAGAGUUACCUUCUCUGACUUAUGAGCUUACAAAAGAAGAAAUCUGCAAAAUUUGAGUACUAUACAUGCAAAGCACAUCGUCCAUUGUCAUAGAGAGGAAGAUCGAGAGCAGCACAUUUGUCUCCACAACUAAAAAUGGAGUUAGCUCUAGAAAUAAGAAUAUACUAAACCAAGAUAAAGGAGAGAUUAGAAACAUAAUAGAUGAGGAAGAUUAGGAGGAACAGUACCUACUGAAGAAAUUGGGGAAAAUAUUAAAAC
RNAcentral lists this long non-coding RNA (8588 nucleotides) under Solanum lycopersicum (tomato). Its description in RNAcentral is "long non-coding RNA (SLYC_LNC000317)". Lineage: Eukaryota; Viridiplantae; Streptophyta; Magnoliopsida; Solanales; Solanaceae. The record is from RNAcentral.